GGGAUUGUAGUGUAGUGGUCUAGCACCGUCGCUUUGGGAGCGACAAACUCAAGUUCAAAUCUUGGCUAUCCCA
Molecule: transfer RNA, 73 nt
Filed under: Methanobrevibacter ruminantium M1
Lineage: Archaea; Methanobacteriati; Methanobacteriota; Methanobacteria; Methanobacteriales; Methanobacteriaceae
Description: tRNA-Pro (TGG) (tRNA-Pro-TGG-2-1)
Rfam family: tRNA
About the family: Transfer RNA (tRNA) molecules are approximately 80 nucleotides in length.
Source: Rfam by way of RNAcentral